Molecule: long non-coding RNA, 1239 nt
Organism: Bactrocera neohumeralis
Lineage: Eukaryota; Metazoa; Arthropoda; Insecta; Diptera; Tephritidae
Exons: 4
Source: RefSeq, a predicted model, not a curated record
AAUUUAAAAUAAUCUUGUUCGUUUGCGUAUUUCAAGAAUGUUUUGUAACAAGUGCAGCGGUUGGAGACGAAUACAUUCGAAAGAGAUGCAAAAGAAGUAUGAAGUUAUGGCUGCUGCAGUAAAAUUUGUUUGUGUAUUUCGAGAUCAUGAGAAAUGUGAAACGAAGCUUUGUUGUUGAUCUAAAUCAAUGUGUUAGUGAAGUAAAGGAUUGCAGUCAACAGACUGCGUAAGAGCGAAGGUCGUUUGGGGGGUGAUAACAAUGCGGACUUUUCGUCGACUCAGAUGUCUUUAUGUUCCAGCACGAAAGGUUACUAAAUUUUUGGCAGAUUCGGAUCGGACCAUCGUUAUGACGCAGCGAAGCAUAUUGUUUCUUGCCGGCGAUUUGCAUUAUGCCAUUCAGGCUAGGCAUGCUGCCCUGGCUGGGACUACGCGAUGGUUGUUUUAGAUCCAGAGCGCUUUUCUGAUUUUGUCCUGAAAAAGUGAUAUUGGAAUAAGGGUGAACGAAAUUUGCUUAAACGAAUGGACAAAAAUAUAAUAAAAUAAAACAGUGCGGCGCACUCCAGGAUAGAAAACCUCAAGCAAGGACUUCCAAAGCUCGAUCAGUAUAACGAAAAUAUCAGUCUUUGGCAAAUAUGAUGUCGUAGCAGUGGAAAUGAGGAUAUAUGGUCGAUAGCCGUUCCAAAAAUAAGAAGCACAUCCAUAGCUUUACUGAUAAUGCUAACGUUCUCUGGCUGAGCCAAACCUCGCCAUCGAAACCAAUAUCAAAUUUCCACACAUACGGCAGGCGAUUUGUGGCUUCCGAACGAAAUCAUGCAUUUUGGUUGCUUUUCUCUUCUGGAAACGGGAAGAAUUGUAGCCAACUGCUGAGUAAGAAUGAGUCAUAAGCUCCUGUUUUUAUGAUUGUUCUCAAGAAACUUCCACAACUGCAGCGAUGGAAUUUGUAUGUAUGUAUGUAUAUUUGGAGGCCAUGAGAAAAGUGAAACCAAGCUUUGUUGUUGAUCUAAAUCAGUGGGCUUGUGAACUUAAAGAUUGCUACCAGCUGCUGCGUAAGAAUGUGUCAUGAGCGCCUAGUGGACGAUUGGAGAUAUCAGGGAAAUUUGUAAUUUUUAUUUCAGGGAAGAAGAAGAAGGAUUUUAUGUGAUAUAUAUAAUAUUAUAAAUAAAUUUAAUUUUUAUUUUUACAAUUGAGGAGAUAAAAUAAAAAAAAAUCAACUAAUUAAUAAACAAUUUAAAUCAUAAG